UAAUUCCACCGUGCGACGGUUGCGCGGCGCGGCGUGCGGUGGGCCGGCCCGGUAGCCAGCAUGGAAGUGGGGAGCUUCCUUCACGUGGUUGUCUCAGUUGCUUGGAUACCGAACCAAAGAACACACAGCACCGCGCUUCGUCAGUGUCCCGCAUUCGUAUUUUCGUAAACCCUCCAAUUUCCCCGUCUUCAAAUUUUAACAAUUCGCUAAUAUUGCGACAUUUUUCCAACAGACCACCGUUCGCCACUCCAUCCUUGAAACCGGUUGCGCUCUCCUAGAAACCCCCGAAAGUAAGUGUGCUCCUCGCAAACAAUGCUCCUUCUGACUUGUGAUUCAUAUCAAUUCCGGCCCCAUCAAUGUCGUAAAUAACUUAUCAUCUGAGCUCGAAAGCUUCAGACUCGCAUACUAACUCAAAUGCAAGCAGAAGUGGAAACUCGGCCCCCGUUGGAAAAAGACCUUGCGCUAGGGUUGAGCGAGGGGCAUUUAGAGCGAAUCAACAGCGCCCUGAGCGAUUCCUCAGUGACGGGCGGGAAAGUGCGGCAGUUCUUCCAGGAGCGGCGAUGCCCGCGCAGUAAGAGUCACGGCGCCACCGCCCGCGGCUGGGACAAGAGCUUCCCGUUGGAGCCCCUCAAAAAAGGGGUCAAGGCCAAGACUAUCCCCCUGCACACCCCCAUCCUCAACCUCGACGAGAUCAACUCUAACCUCAGGCUCAAGGUAAAAAAACUCCUGUGCACCAGUGGCGCGGCGUGAAUGAUCGAUUACACCGCUCAACAUGGGUUCUGUCCUUCGAACCAAACCAAUUUUUUUCGAUUCCUAGGUGAUAUAGAAGUCCAAAAAUGCCCAUAAAAAACUUCAAGAAAAUUGGCUGGUGCUCAGGGUGCCGCCAUUUUGAAUUUUCCAAAAUUGAGAAAACCCACGAUCAGUUUUUUGAAAAAAUCUCCUCAACGGUUAAUUUUACGAAAAAAACAGCAGAAAGUACAUAAAAUUUCCUACCGAAAUGACUCUCCAUUUUCUUUCCUAGCUUAAUUUUUUGGUCAUUAAAUUAACGUUUUCGUCAAAAAUUAGCUUAAAAAAGGCGCAUUUUCGCUGAUUUUGGGAGAAACUUUGGUUCAUAUCUCCAGCCACGAUUAUCUAAGAAAAAACUGUUAAGCUCAUUAAAAGAACGUAAAAACUUCUAGAAAACAUAUGUCAAAAGUUUCAAAGCUUGGCUUAAUCCUGUGAAACAGCAGUUUAUUAGCUCAGCUCUUAAAAUAUGAUUUUUUAGACCAUUUUCUUUAGAAUCAAGAAAAAAGGAAAAAAAAUCUAAAAACGUGACCCAAACUGUGUAAAAAGGUGGCAAAUAGUGCUUGGUGACUAUUUUGAAUAUUCGUUUCCCCCCGUCCUUUUCCCCUUUUUUAAGGUGUUCGCUGUGG
Molecule: long non-coding RNA, 1412 nt
Filed under: Bemisia tabaci
Lineage: Eukaryota; Metazoa; Arthropoda; Insecta; Hemiptera; Aleyrodidae
Description: lncRNA ENSSSA2NGG014001
Source: RNAcentral